Solanum pennellii is the source of this 650-nucleotide long non-coding RNA. RefSeq lists it as uncharacterized. NCBI's taxonomy places the organism in Eukaryota, Viridiplantae, Streptophyta, Magnoliopsida, Solanales, Solanaceae. The transcript is spliced from 2 exons. The record is from RefSeq and is a predicted model, not a curated record.
CUUCUGCAAUAGAGAAUUAAAAAAACAGAAGUCUGAAAACUUUAUACUGUUUUUGAUGGGUUGUUGAGGAAUUGACUGCCAAUUUCUCCAACACAUUAUUUUAACGACCUUUUAAAUAAUCAAAAAAGUUCUAACUUCCUUUGUUGUUCCAUUUUUAUAUAAGAAAGAUGAAUUUUGGUUCGUUCCAAGAUGGUAGUAAUGACGAUCAUGGUGGUGGAUUGGUGGCCUGUGGGUGGCAAUGAUGGUGAUGUCAAUCUUAAUAUAAAUAAAAAGAGGCAAAACUUAAAAGGAGCAAUGUUGGUGAUAGAAGAAUGGAAGUGUACAGAGGAGAAAAAGAAAGAAAAGAAAGAUGAAAGGCCACCGACAACAAAUUGUUGUGAUGGAGGAACAAAUGGAAAAGAGGUGUAGGUGGAAGGUGAGAAGUGUCUUGAAACAAAGCUUGGAAACUAGGAUUCUUUCAAGAAAGUUGAAGUAUGUCCUCACUUGACUCGAGGACAUAACUAUCUUUAGACUUUUUUUAUUCAAAGUAUUGUAAUAGACUAAGUAUUUCUAUAUUCGUAUUGUAUGGACCGUGUCCGAAGUAUUAGGAUUGACAUAUGUUGAGACUUAGUAUUUUCCUAUGAUUUUAAUAUGAAAGAUGUUUUAAGACA